This 460-nucleotide ribosomal RNA is filed under the name uncultured eukaryote. Its description in RNAcentral is "SSU rRNA". It matches the Rfam family "Eukaryotic small subunit ribosomal RNA", at positions 567 to 990 of the family's 1831-position model. The record is from RNAcentral.
CCAGCAGCUGCGGUAAUUCCAGCUCCAAUAGCGUAUACUAACGUUGUUGCACUUAAAAAGCUCGUAGUCCGACUUCCGAGAGCGCGAGCGUCCGUGGCGCCGGCGCGCCCGCCUCUGUGCGGCCGCCGAUCCCGCCCGCGUCUCGCCUCUCCUCGACCCCUGCCUGGUUCACGGCCCCGCUGCGCCCUCGCGGUGCAGCGCGUUUGGUCGUCAGGCAUGUUCCUGUGAGCAAAUCAGAGUGUUCCAAGCAGGCUCAACGCCUUGCAUGGUCUAGCAUGGAAUAACCGAGCGGGACUCCGCGCUUCGCUGCGUUGGUUCGAGUGAGCCGGAGGACAUGGUUAAUAGGGAUAGUUGGGGGCAUUCGUAUUCCGGUGUCAGAGGUGAAAUUCUAGGAUUACCGGAAGACGAACGAAUGCGAAAGCAUUUGCCAAGGAUAUUCCCAUUGAUCAAGAACGAAAGU